UUUUGAUCAUGUAAGCCUUUAU
Molecule: microRNA, 22 nt
Filed under: Blattella germanica (German cockroach)
Lineage: Eukaryota; Metazoa; Arthropoda; Insecta; Blattodea; Blattellidae
Description: Bge-Novel-19_3p* (star (passenger))
Source: RNAcentral